CCCUACGGGGUGCGAUCCUGGGAAGAAACAGUAGAACGACUCGUGGUGCACAAGCAGCGCUCAUCGGGUAUUUCGCAAGUAGGGAUGCUCCAGGGUUCGGCCGGAGGCUCGCCACGUUCAUGGCUGGUGGGGCGGGGCUGGGACCAAAACCUGUGGCAAUCACAAGAGUUUCCGGAUAGAAAAUUGCUUAAUAGGGCUUUCCCUGAUACGCCGGUUAUUGCCAGACGCGUGGACAGUCACGCAGCGAUAGUGAAUGGGAAGGCCUUGGAACUUGCAGGAAUUGGCGGGGGGGC
RNAcentral lists this ribosomal RNA (293 nucleotides) under uncultured prokaryote. RNAcentral's name for it is "partial 16S ribosomal RNA". The record is from RNAcentral.